UGGUCAUGUAAAGCCGCUUCUUCAAAGUGGU
This 31-nucleotide non-coding RNA is filed under the name Rattus norvegicus (Norway rat). Lineage: Eukaryota; Metazoa; Chordata; Mammalia; Rodentia; Muridae. The record is from RNAcentral.